CUACGGGGGGCACCAGUGAGGAAUAUUGCACAAUGGGGGGAACCCUGAUGCAGCAACGCCGCGUGGAGGAUGACGCAUUUCGGUGUGUAAACUCCUUUUAUAUGUCAAGAAAAUGACGGUAGCAUAUGAAUAAGCACCGGCUAACUCCGUGCCAGCAGCCGCGGUAAUACGGAGGGUGCAAGCGUUACUCGGAAUCACUGGGCGUAAAGGACGCGUAGGCGGGAUUGUAAGUCAGGUGUGAAAUCCUACAGCUUAACUGUAGAACUGCACUUGAAACUACGAGCCUAGAGUAUGGGAGGGGCAGAUGGAAUUAGUGGUGUAGGGGUAAAAUCCGUAGAUAUCACUAGGAAUACCUAAAGCGAAGGCGAUCUGCUGGAACAUAACUGACGCUAAGGCGUGAAAGCGUGGGGAGCAAACAGGAUUAGAUACCCGGGUAGUC
This 439-nucleotide ribosomal RNA is filed under the name uncultured bacterium. RNAcentral's name for it is "partial 16S ribosomal RNA". It matches the Rfam family "Bacterial small subunit ribosomal RNA", at positions 339 to 795 of the family's 1533-position model. The record is from RNAcentral.